GGGUGAGGCCAGAAGGGGUGUGAUAUGGGGUACUACUUCUCCAAUGAGUCCAUUUUGAUUGCAGAUCUGAAAGCAUCUUUUCAAAAUGGCAAGUGAGGUGGUUUAUGCAGAGGUAUUGCCCAAUGAAAGAGUGCGUUUUACUUCACAAACUUCAGAUACAGGUGAUCCAACCACAUACGCGGAGGUGAAUGUGAAAUGGCACAGACCUGACAGCACACCCAAGACUACACAUGCAGUGACCUGUUUGGAGAACUCACACUGGUGUUACAUUGCUGUCGCCCUAUACUUCACUGCAGUGAUUCUGCUCAUCACUGUCAUCCUCUUGGCAGUGAAAUGUCACAACCUCUGAGACAGAUGUUGCCAUCCUCCUGAUGCACAGAAUAACUCGGCAGAGGAAGGCUCUGUUUCCUCAACAAAACAAGACAUAAUGCUUGUUUAUUUUUACAUUAUUUUCUCUGAAGAGACCUUUAUGAAAGAAGACAUGACAUCAGUCAGAUCACUCUUCAGUUCCGUCUUUCAGGGUCUCCAUUAAACCUCUAAUCUCUCCAUAUAUGGACAAAACAUAUAUUAUUAUUUGGAAUUUGCUUAAUCCUGUAACAUGAGCAACCAUCCAAUUAUAAUGGUGCAUGCACCAAGGAAUGAGCUCAAGCUGCUGCUUUGAAAGCUGAAUUUGGAUCUUGUCUAGACAACACAACUGACCCUGCGGACCAGUUUGAGACAUCACUUUUAUUUCACACCUGACUUGAUUUUGCAGCAAUCUGCAAUAUAAAUAAGCUUUUAGAUUAGGUAUGUGCAAGUGCAAAAAUUCAUAGAUAAAACAGGGAAUGUGAAAGAUUGCACUGAACUUUUUUACAAAGCCUAGGUUUGGAUGUGAUUUUUCUUCUCCCAACAGCUUUUAGUGGGAUUUGCAUGAAAGGGGUGUUGAAAGAGCAAGAAACUGUAUUCGUUUAGUAGAGAAGUCUCAUUCUCAUCCCCCCACCGGCUUGAACAAAAUUAUUUUGUUCUACUUGUUCAGAAGAGCUUCUCACAGAAAUACAAUAUGUUGUUUCUGUCUUCGGGCAGUAAUUAAUUCUGUAUUUGUUUUGUUUUGUUUUUUUUUUUUCCAAAUCCUGUAUCUUCAGUUAGAUCAGUCCUGCACUGGAACUGAGCCACCUUAGGGUUGAGAUGCAUUUGUCUGUAAUUACUAUUUUUUAUUAUUUUUUAUAUGCACCAGAAAUCAAUAAAGAGAUUUAGUAAAGCACUUAA
Pezoporus occidentalis (night parrot) is the source of this 1245-nucleotide long non-coding RNA. RefSeq lists it as uncharacterized. The record is from RefSeq and is a predicted model, not a curated record. The transcript has 4 exons. NCBI's taxonomy places the organism in Eukaryota, Metazoa, Chordata, Aves, Psittaciformes, Psittacidae.